GCUCGCCGCCCGUACCUGCCCCGUCGCCCCUUCUCCACCGAGCCUCCCCCUUCACCUGCUCCCGCUGCCCUGCUGCCUUUGUCUGGGCGGCAUAAAGAGCGAAACCCAGCGCCGGACCAGCCCGCAGCAGCACGGCCCAACCCGAAAUGCAAUAAAAUAAAAAAAGUCGCACACGUUUCCUGCCCUAUAUGAAGACAUAACAAGCUAACCCAAACCUCUCCCCGGCCACACGUGCACGCAGGCACUGCGAGGUACGUAGAUUUCUCAUCUCCGGGCAUGGUUGGUUUGGGGUGUCUUUGGCUGGGUUUUAAUCUCGUGGGUCGCUUUUUCCUUUUCUUUAUUUAUUCCCCCCCCCCCCCCCCCCUUUUAUUUUUUCUCCACGAGCCCGACGGCCGGGGAAGGAGCCUCACUUCACCAGCAGAGCAGGCAAAAGCCAUUGUCCCACCCUGCGGGGCGCGGUGCCCCCCCCUCGGGAGCUGCAAUUCCUCCCUAGGGCUCGGGGCUUCCCCCCUUCUUCUCGGCCCCGCUCGGGCUGUGGGGUUUAACACCGGGAGGGGGCCAGGAGGGGAAAAAA
Molecule: long non-coding RNA, 574 nt
Organism: Oxyura jamaicensis (ruddy duck)
Lineage: Eukaryota; Metazoa; Chordata; Aves; Anseriformes; Anatidae
Exons: 2
Source: RefSeq, a predicted model, not a curated record